AUUGAACGCUGGCGGCAGGCCUAACACAUGCAAGUCGAGCGAGUGGCGGACGGGUGAGUAAUGUCUGGGACACUGCCCGAUGGAGGGGGAUAACUACUGGAAACGGUAGCUAAUACCGCAUACCAUCAGAUGACCCCAUAUGGGAUUAGCUUGUAGGUGGGGUAACGGCUCACCUAGGCGACGAUCCCUAGCUGGUCUGAGAGGAUGACCAGCCACACUGGGACUGAGACACGGCCCAGACUCCUACGGGAGGCAGCAGUGGGGAAUAUUGCACAAUGGGCGCAAGCCUGAUGCAGCCAUGCCGCGUGUAUGAAGAAGGCCUUCGGGUUGUAAAGUACUUUCAGUGGGGAGGCGUUACCCACAGAAGAAGCACCGGCUAACUCCGUGCCAGCAGCCGCGGUAAUUC
RNAcentral lists this ribosomal RNA (406 nucleotides) under uncultured bacterium. RNAcentral's name for it is "partial 16S ribosomal RNA". It matches the Rfam family "Bacterial small subunit ribosomal RNA", at positions 30 to 526 of the family's 1533-position model. The record is from RNAcentral.